UCUUGUGUCAAGGAUGACCCUGUCUGUGUGCGUGUGUUUUUAGGUCUCCAGCUUAGUUUCCAGCUCACAUGCUGUCCUGUAGUGCAGGCCCUACAAGUGAGUUCUCCGGAAUCCCAUUCCAAUUCCAUGAAGGUUUCCUGUGCCCGCACUCCCCUGCGCUGCAGAAAUAGGGCCCUGCCAUUCCUGAGUCGUGCUGGGCAGAGGGUAACUGACUUAGCGCCAGCAGUGAACCAGCCUCCCAGCAUGCCUUUCUCUAUCUGUUAUUGUGAAUUUCAGAGAACGGAAGGAUUUCCCCUCUCCCUGCAGAUGUGCAGAGAGGGCUUUUCAGCUCAAUCACACCCACCAACGACUCCCAGGACAGUAACAGCCUGGGUGACAGCCAGAGCGGACACUGACUACUUCCAGGCUGCAGAGAGAAAACAGAAGCGGCCGAGAAGCUGGGAACUGUGCGGAGGGAAACAGCUGGCCGCCUAUGAGACCGUGGUUCCCCUCUCCCUGCUAAGAUGAUGCUCGCAGCACACACUGGUUUGAGUUUGAGGAGGGCCAAACAACAUGAUGAACACACAAGGCAAGAGCUAGCAGAGGGGCAGGAACACACCGGAAGUGCCUAGCUGUAGCGGCAAACAAGUACGCAGAGAUGAUGUGUGGAGGGACCGCUGAGCAAGCUUCCUACUCUUCGGCUUCAUAAAUGGCUCCGCGUUUCCGGUGCUGCGCGUGCAGUUGGGGUGCUGCCGCAUUGCCAGGACACUGGGGAAGAAUCACUAAUGGAGAUGAUUGCCCGUAAUGACGCUCUCUGGAAGUGCCUGGCUGAUUAAAUGCUGAAGGAAGAGGGCAUAAUCGUCGGAAUUUCAAUUAAACGCUCGUUUCAUACUAUCAGAGGAAGAAGCAAUUUCAUUUUCACUCCUGGCCGCAGCGCCACGGUCUGUCAGAAACUUGCGGAUUGUGUCUCACUCUGCGGCUGAACUGCAGCUC
Molecule: long non-coding RNA, 972 nt
Organism: Alexandromys fortis (reed vole)
Lineage: Eukaryota; Metazoa; Chordata; Mammalia; Rodentia; Cricetidae
Exons: 3
Source: RefSeq, a predicted model, not a curated record